GUAAUGCCGGAUGCUCCGACUCCUCGCAUGGGGUGUCGGGAAAGAUUUCAUCGGUAUGGGAUGGGGUCGCGUCCUAUCAGGUAGUCGGCGGGGUAACGGCCCACCGAGCCUACGACGGGUAGCCGGCCUGAGAGGGCGACCGGCCACAUUGGGACUGAGAUACGGCCCAGACUCCUACGGGAGGCAGCAGUGGGGAAUAUUGCACAAUGGGCGCAAGCCUGAUGCAGCGACGCCGCGUGCGGGAUGACGGCCUUCGGGUUGUAAACCGCUUUUGAUCGGGAGCAAGCCUUCGGGUGAGUGUACCUUUCGAAUAAGCACCGGCUAACUACGUGCCAGCAGCCGCGGUAAUACGUAGGGUGCAAGCGUUAUCCGGAAUUAUUGGGCGUAAAGGGCUCGUAGGCGGUUCGUCGCGUCCGGUGUGAAAGUCCAUCGCUUAACGGUGGAUCUGCGCCGGGUACGGGCGGGCUGGAGUGCGGUAGGGGAGACUGGAAUUCCCGGUGUAACGGUGGAAUGUGUAGAUAUCGG
RNAcentral lists this ribosomal RNA (525 nucleotides) under Bifidobacterium pseudocatenulatum. Its description in RNAcentral is "bacterial SSU rRNA". It matches the Rfam family "Bacterial small subunit ribosomal RNA", at positions 163 to 700 of the family's 1533-position model. Lineage: Bacteria; Bacillati; Actinomycetota; Actinomycetes; Bifidobacteriales; Bifidobacteriaceae. The record is from RNAcentral.